AGAGUUUGAUCAUGGCUCAGGACGAACGCUGGCGGCGUGCUUAACACAUGCAAGUCGAACGAUGAUCCGGUUUCGGCCGGUGAUUAGUGGCGAACGGGUGAGUAACACGUGGGUAAUCUGCCCUGCACUCUGGGAUAAGCCUGGGAAACUGGGUCUAAUACCGGAUAUGACCUUCGGUCGCAUGAUCGUUGGUGGAAAGCUUUUGCGGUGUGGGAUGGGCCCGCGGCCUAUCAGCUUGUUGGUGGGGUGAUGGCCUACCAAGGCGACGACGGGUAGCCGGCCUGAGAGGGUGACCGGCCACACUGGGACUGAGACACGGCCCAGACUCCUACGGGAGGCAGCAGUGGGGAAUAUUGCACAAUGGGCGCAAGCCUGAUGCAGCGACGCCGCGUGAGGGAUGACGGCCUUCGGGUUGUAAACCUCUUUCAGCAGGGAAGAAGCGCAAGUGACGGUACCUGCAGAAGAAGCACCGGCUAACUACGUGCCAGCAGCCGCGGUAAUACGUAGGGUGCAAGCGUUGUCCGGAAUUAUUGGGCGUAAAGAGCUCGUAGGCGGCUUGUCGCGUCGGUUGUGAAAGCCCGGGGCUCAACUCCGGAACUGCCUUUGAUACUGGGUGUCUUGAGUGUGAGAGAGGUGAGUGGAACUCCGAGUGUAGAGGUGAAAUUCGUAGAUAUUCGGAAGAACACCAGUGGCGAAGGCGACUCACUGGCUCAUUACUGACGCUGAGGCUCGAAAGCGUGGGGGAGCAAACAGGAUUAGAUACCCUGGUAGUCCACGCCGUAAACGAUGAUUGCUAGUUGUCGGGGAGCUUGCUCUUCGGUGACGCAGCUAACGCAUUAAGCAAUCCGCCUGGGGAGUACGGUCGCAAGAUUAAAACUCAAAGGAAUUGACAAUCUCUAGAGGAUCCCCGGGUACCGA
Molecule: ribosomal RNA, 918 nt
Filed under: uncultured bacterium
Lineage: Bacteria
Description: bacterial SSU rRNA
Rfam family: Bacterial small subunit ribosomal RNA
Source: RNAcentral